RNAcentral lists this long non-coding RNA (347 nucleotides) under Lathyrus oleraceus (garden pea). Its description in RNAcentral is "Pisum sativum (pea) long non-coding RNA (PSAT_LNC027509)". The record is from RNAcentral. Lineage: Eukaryota; Viridiplantae; Streptophyta; Magnoliopsida; Fabales; Fabaceae.
GCGUGAUGCAUGAUGAGGAUGCGAAUGUUAUGCAUAUUUUAUUUUCAGGGAAUUUUCAUCACGGUUGUAGUUAUAUUAAGCAUUUAGAGAAAACAUAAAGUCAGGAAAUAAAAAUGAGGAUCAUCCUCUUCCAUUCAAAUAUUUAAAGUACGGAGUACAAAGGCAUAACCGCCCAAAUCGAUACAGCUCAAAUACUAACUGAAUAUAAGAAAAACAGAAGAAUCACACAGAAGUCUUUCGAGUUAUGAGUUCUUCUAAUUCAGACUUGAACCUCUUCACCAUCCCCUCACACAUCAUAACAAAAUGGAUUACAGCAGGAUGUGUGCCAUGCUGGUCCAAUCCUUCCA